This 461-nucleotide ribosomal RNA is filed under the name Bacillus amyloliquefaciens. RNAcentral describes it as "bacterial SSU rRNA". It matches the Rfam family "Bacterial small subunit ribosomal RNA", at positions 983 to 1444 of the family's 1533-position model. Lineage: Bacteria; Bacillati; Bacillota; Bacilli; Caryophanales; Bacillaceae. The record is from RNAcentral.
GACAUCCUCUGACAAUCCUAGAGAUAGGACGUCCCCUUCGGGGGCAGAGUGACAGGUGGUGCAUGGUUGUCGUCAGCUCGUGUCGUGAGAUGUUGGGUUAAGUCCCGCAACGAGCGCAACCCUUGAUCUUAGUUGCCAGCAUUCAGUUGGGCACUCUAAGGUGACUGCCGGUGACAAACCGGAGGAAGGUGGGGAUGACGUCAAAUCAUCAUGCCCCUUAUGACCUGGGCUACACACGUGCUACAAUGGACAGAACAAAGGGCAGCGAAACCGCGAGGUUAAGCCAAUCCCACAAAUCUGUUCUCAGUUCGGAUCGCAGUCUGCAACUCGACUGCGUGAAGCUGGAAUCGCUAGUAAUCGCGGAUCAGCAUGCCGCGGUGAAUACGUUCCCGGGCCUUGUACACACCGCCCGUCACACCACGAGAGUUUGUAACACCCGAAGUCGGUGAGGUAACCUUUUU